AGAAACAUCAGGUCUGCCCACCCUGGCAGACCAAGGGAAUCCUGGGGGCAGCCCCAGCAUAGGGUGAUUUCCCCAUUCCCACUCAGCAGCGCGGUUGGUGCAGCAGUGGGACCCUCGGGAGGCAGGCAGCCAUGUGGAGCUGUUUUGCCUCCACUUUCUCCCAUUUCCCUUCGCUCAAGAAUGACCAGCUUCAAAGCAAAAGUUCACUGCUCUAAUUGAAUAUUCUCCAUAUUGAGAGGGGUAAAAAUAAACAUUCUUCUCAGUUUAUUCACGCAUAAACUAGAAUCAUCCAAGUGUGACAUCUGAAAAGAACGACAUGAUUAUAAUCUGAAAUGAGAACAAAGGUUCAUCUUGUGCAGUUUCUUAUUUUUUUUUCUUCACUGCAGACUUUGAAAAAGGAAGAGAAAGAAUCUUAAUACCAUUAAAGCUGAAGAAAGCCAGGGCCCUGUGCCUCAGCGUUAACCUUUUCAGUAUUCUGCUGGCUAAUUGUCCGUCCGUUCCACCUUUUCCUCUCAGGUUAAUGGGGUGGUUAACAGGGGAGGACAGCAAUGGUUGGCCAAUCGCACUACAAAGCAAACUGAAAAGGUUGAAGCGAUGUGCUG
This 602-nucleotide long non-coding RNA is filed under the name Gallus gallus (chicken). The record is from RNAcentral. Lineage: Eukaryota; Metazoa; Chordata; Aves; Galliformes; Phasianidae.